AGCCCGGUGGUGUAGCGGCCAAGCAUCAGGGACUCUGGAUCCUUGGACAGGAGUUCGAAUCUCCUCCGGGCUACCA
RNAcentral lists this transfer RNA (76 nucleotides) under Candidatus Odinarchaeum yellowstonii. Its description in RNAcentral is "tRNA-Gln". It matches the Rfam family "tRNA". Rfam says of the family: Transfer RNA (tRNA) molecules are approximately 80 nucleotides in length. Lineage: Archaea; Promethearchaeati; Candidatus Odinarchaeota; Candidatus Odinarchaeia; Candidatus Odinarchaeales; Candidatus Odinarchaeaceae. The record is from RNAcentral.